RNA transcript from Cryptomeria japonica (Japanese cedar), 2972 nucleotides. RefSeq lists it as uncharacterized. Lineage: Eukaryota; Viridiplantae; Streptophyta; Pinopsida; Cupressales; Cupressaceae. The record is from RefSeq and is a predicted model, not a curated record. The transcript has 2 exons.
CAGGUCGAACCCAGGAGGACCCGGGUGAACCGAAGCCCGUGGGUUCCCAAAAACGGGGCCCACGGGUUAGAAAGCAAUUAAAAACAAUUAAAAAACAAUUUUUUUAAUCUUAUUUUUACAUCUAAACCCUAAUCCGCCCCUCUAUGAUGCAUUUCAUGCAUCAAAACAUGCAUUCAACCUAUUCUACUUGCAUUUUUGAAGAUUUUUUCUCUACAAUCAGGCUUCUUAGUUUUUGUAUUUUUCUUCGAAGGUGACGACUAUGAAGGUGUGAGACACACAUCAAAGGCAUAGGAAUCACUGGAGAAGAAAGAUUUAGCCAUUAAAGGUAAGUGAAUCUAAAUUUUUUUCAAGUUUUCAAGAAUUUUUCCAAGUUUUUUUCAAAUUUUUAAAUUUUUUAAAAAGUUUUAAAAAGUUUUUUAAAUUUUUUUUAAAGAAGUCUUGUAUAUUUUUUUACACUUUGUAUGCAUAGUAUGGGGUUAUAAUAUCAAAAUUUUAAUAACUUUUUUCAAUAAUGUUGUGCGUUCUCUUUUCAUUUUAGGUGCAUUAUUCAUAUAAUCAUACAUAAUGGCUGGAACUGGAAGUGCAAGUGCAAGCUCUAGUUCAGUUGCAAAUGUCCGAACUGAAAAUACCCCCUUUAAAAUUGAUCAAGAUUCACCACUUUGGCAUUAUACAACAAUGAUCAAGCCAGUGUCUGGUGGUGGGGGUUUUGUUUGGCAAUGCAACCAUUGUGGCACUGAGUAUACCAGCUCAUACUUUCGAGUGAAAGGCCACCUUUGUUUCAUCCUUGGGCGUGGAAUAAAAUUUUGUAAGGGAUCAGAUGGCAAGGGGCUGUCAAAAGCUCUAGUUCUGGGAUAUAUUAGAGAACAAGAGGAAGCUGAUAGGAGAAGUAACAAAGCAAAGACUGAUCAUCCUCUUGUCCAUCCAAGCUCAAUGUCUAAGAGGCCUUCUAGUAGCAUUGACUCCACAAGACUAGCUGGUUCACAUCCUUUCAUGCAAAACCCACCAGUUGAUGCAGUAGAGAAUCAGAAUGUUGUGGCUUCACGGAAAAGAGGCCCAUUGGAUUUUGCCUUCAAAAAUGAACUGAGAGAGAUUGCAGAUUCCAAAAUUGGACGUUGCCUUUAUGGCAAUGGGCUUCCUUUCAACCUUGUUAGAUCACCUUACUUUCGGGACAUGGUGCAUACUCUUUGCAAUACACCUUCUGAUUAUGUUUGUCCAGGGUAUGAAAAGGUGAGAACCACCUUAUUGGCAAAGGAGAAAGCAUCCGUAGAGUCACAGUUGAAGGUCAUCAAAGAUACAUGGCAGGAAAUAGGUGUGACCAUUGUUUUUGAUGGAUGGAAAGAUUGUAAAAAUAGGCCAUUGAUCAAUGUUAUAGCAGUGUGUCCUAAAGGGGCAAUGUUUUUGAAAGCAGUGGAUUGUGAGGGGCAAGUGAAAGAUGCAAGUUUCAUUGCCAAUAUCUUGAUAGAAUGCAUUGACAUGGUGGGGCCUCAAAAUGUUGUCCAAGUUGUAACUGACAAUGCUAAAAAUUGUAGGGCAGCAGGGACUAUAGUGGAGGCUACAUAUGGUCACAUCUUUUGGACACCAUGUGCAGUACACUCACUCAAUUUAAUCAUGCAAAAGCUUGGCACACAAAUUGAUUGGGUGAAAAAACUGUAUGCGGAGGGCGAGGAGAUUCAAAUGUUUGUGACUAAUCAUCAUAUGUCACAAGCCAUUUUUCAGGACCUUCUCCAAGUUGGAGUUGUUGAAGGUAAUUUAUAAUAAUUAAUUUUAAAUUUUAUUUUUUAAUUUUUUAGUUUUAAAUUUGUAUUUUUUAUAGAUUUGCAUUUGAUAUAUGUUGUGUAUUUUGUUAUGUCAUGUUAGGUUGCUGAAACACGAUUUGCAUCUCACACACUCGUCUUAAGACGACUUCUGAAGGUGCGAGACGCUUUGAGUUCUAUGGUCAUCAACAGCUUGUGGAGUGUAUGAAAGUAGUCCCACACAGAAAGAGCUCUAAAAGUAAGAGCAUUGAUCUUUAGUGAGAAAUGGUGGGAUGAUGUGGAAUAUGUUUUGAAUUUCAUUGAGCCCAUCAUGAGCAUGAUCAGGUAUGCUGAUAUUGAUCGCCCAUGUUUGGGCGAGAUUUAUGAUGGCAUGGAUUGCAUGGUGGAAAAAAUAAAAGAAGUAAUAAAUAAAAAAGAAAAUGACCCAACGGAAACAUUUUUCAAAGUUGUGCAGAAAAUUGUUGUUGACCGUUGGAACAAGAUGACCACCCCCUUACAUCUCUUAGCAUUUGCUUUGACACCAAAAUUUUAUAGUGCAGAGAUGUUUGCAACACCAAGGAGGGUGCCACCAUAUAGAGAUGUAGAGGUUGCUUCUGGCUAUAGUGCUGCCUUUAAAAAGAUAUAUCAAGAUGAGACAAGAAAUAUUGUCAUGAGGGAGUUUGGCCAAUUUGUAUAUGCAAAAAAUCAUGAUGUUGUAGCUCUUAAUGCUAGAUAUGGGAUGGAUGCUGAUGAGUGGUGGUAUGUACAUGGUCAAGGCUCCGUUUACUUGCAGCCUCUUGCAAUUAAACUUAACUCCCAAGUUGCAAGUUCUUCUUCAGCUGAGCGGAAUUGGAGUACAUAUUCCUUCAUCCACUCAGUCAAACGUAAUCGUUUGGGUGCAAAGAAAGCUGAGGAUUUGGUCUACAUACACUCCAACCUUCGUUUGUUGUCACAUAAGGACCCUGAAUAUAGUGAGGGUGUAACAAGGAAUUGGGAUCUAGCCCCUGAGUGUGCUGAUUUAGAUGCUACAGUUGCACAACUUUGCCAAGUCUUUAUAGACGAGGCGGUUAUGGAAUUUGAGAGAGACACAGCUAGUGGGAGUGGCAUUCCAUUUGAUAUUGGUUCAAUUGAUGCUGAAUUUGAACCACUUGAUGACCGUGGGCUUGGGUUGGAUGCUUUAGAUGAAGAUGAAUAUGGAAUUUAAAUCCCAUAGAUGGCUUGUAAUUUGAAUGUUUAACU